This 1581-nucleotide ribosomal RNA is filed under the name Triticum aestivum (bread wheat). RNAcentral's name for it is "partial small subunit ribosomal RNA". Lineage: Eukaryota; Viridiplantae; Streptophyta; Magnoliopsida; Poales; Poaceae. The record is from RNAcentral.
AUGGACGUUUCCGGUCAAAUAAAGGUGCUCGUGUGGUUCGAGGGAUCACAAGAUUGGCAAACCAUCUACACUGCACCAAAAUCUCAAUGCGAUGUCUAUGCUUCAUGUGGCCCUUUCACAGUCUGCAACGAUGUCCCAUCCCCAUCCUGCAGCUGCUUGAGGGGCUACUCCAUACGAUCACCUCAAGACUGGGAGCUUGAUGAUCGAACAGGUGGAUGUGCAAGAAAUACUCCACUCUACUGCAGCGCCAACAUUACUAGAGUCGGCAAGGCAGAUAAGUUUUACCCUAUGACUUCUGUCAAACUUCCUGUUGAUGCCAGGAAUGUUGGCACAGCCACCACCGCAGAUGAAUGCUCACUUGUGUGCUUGGGAAGCUGCUCCUGCACCGCAUAUUCCUACGAUCAAAGUGGCUGCUUCAUUUGGCAUGACAAACUGCUCAAUAUUCAGCAACAAGGUAACAAUAUUCUUCACCUUCGCCUGGCUGCAAAAGAAGUGCAAAGUAGUAAUACCCAUAGAAGGGGGCCAAUCACUGGUGUUGCUAUUGGUGCAAGUGUUGCCAUUGUUGGUUUGAUAUUUCUAUGGAUGCUCUGGAUGAGAAAAGGGAGGUGGCAUGGUGAUAAUGUUCAGGGUGGCAUGGGGAUCAUUGCAUUCCGAUAUGCCGAUUUACAGCAUGCAACAAACAAAUUUGAAGACAAGUUGGGGGCCGGAAGUUUUGGUUCAGUAUUUAAGGGUUCUCUAACGGACUCGACAACCAUAGCAGUGAAAAGGCUUGAUGGGUUCCGCCAAGGAGAGAAGCAAUUCAGGGCUGAGGUGAGCUCAACUGGGGUCAUCCAGCAUGUCAACUUGGUUAAACUGAUUGGCUUUUGUUGUCAAGGCGAUAAGAGGUUACUUGUCUAUGAAUACAUGCCCAAUGGCUCCCUGGAUUCCCAUCUCUUCCAAAGCAAUGGCAUGGUGUUGGAUUGGACUAGAAGGUACCAAAUAGCCCUUGGAAUUGCUAGAGGAUUAUCCUUUUUGCAUGCUAGUUGUCGGGACUGUAUUAUACAUUGUGAUAUCAAACCGGAGAACAUACUUCUAGAUGGCUCUUUCACUCCUAAAGUCACGGACUUUGGGAUGGGCAAACUUUUGCGAAGGGAUUUCAGCCAUGUUGUUACUACAAUGAGGGGAACCAUUGGAUACCUUGCUCCUGAAUGGAUCAGUGGAACUCCUAUCACACCAGAAGUUGAUGUUUACAGCUAUGGCAUGGUUUUGUUAGAGACUAUAUCAGGCAACAGGAACUCGAGUAAGCAAUCCUUCUGCCAAGAUGGCGUCCAUGAAGCAUAUUUUCCGGUGCGAGUUGCACACAGUCUUCUUGAUGGAGACAUUGCUACUUUGAUAGAUGCAAAGUUGUUGGGUGAAGUGAAUCAGGAAGAGGUUGAAAGAGUUUGCAAAGUCGCAUGCUGGUGUAUUCAAGAUGUUGAGUUUGGCCGGCCUACAAUGAGUGAGGUGGUGCAGUUUCUCGAGUGUGUGUGUGAAGUUGAGACGCCUCCAAUGCCAAGAUUACUUCAAGCUAUCGCGGGACAGCCAAAUUCAAGGAUAAUGUAA